CGACUAUAAUUGUACUUCGUUGU
This 23-nucleotide non-coding RNA is filed under the name Arabidopsis thaliana (thale cress). Lineage: Eukaryota; Viridiplantae; Streptophyta; Magnoliopsida; Brassicales; Brassicaceae. The record is from RNAcentral.